Molecule: non-coding RNA, 194 nt
Filed under: bovine gut metagenome
Source: RNAcentral
GAACUGACAAUCCGAAAGGUGGAAUGAAAGGGGUAACGCCCUGAAACGCCUUCCCUAAGACUGCGACUGGGAUAUGUAAGGGAAACCUGAUAUUUCAGAGAGCUCGCGGAAGUCGGCAGAGAGUGACCGUGCCCAAGCAACACGAAAGCUGUCCAGAGGUGGAUGGUGUCACCUAUAUGCCGGGGGUCUAUAAA